UGUGCUAAGGUAGCAUAAUAAUUUGGUGUUUAAUUAACAUCUGGUAUAAACGAUCUGACGAAAAUUUAGCUUUCUCCUAUAAAAGCCAUUAACUUUAUCAAAAGGUAAAAAAGCCUUUAUUACCUAAAAGGACGACAAGACCCUAGGAUCUAAAUUUUAAUCUAGCUAAAAAGUUAAAUCUCCUGUAAUAGAAUAAAAUUAUACUGGGGCGGUAAUGAUUUUUAACAAUCUUAAAUACUACAUUUAUGUAUGAUUUUUAGUACCUUAUAUUUCUGUAAAAAUUAAGAUACCCUAGGGAUAACAGCACAAUACAUCUUAAGAGCCCUAAUCGCCAGAUUAUUUUUGUGACCUCGAUGUUGAAUUAAGGUCCCUCUAUCAAGCAG
This 383-nucleotide ribosomal RNA is filed under the name Oritoniscus flavus. RNAcentral's name for it is "16S ribosomal RNA". It matches the Rfam family "Bacterial large subunit ribosomal RNA", at positions 1947 to 2561 of the family's 2925-position model. The record is from RNAcentral. Lineage: Eukaryota; Metazoa; Arthropoda; Malacostraca; Isopoda; Trichoniscidae.